RNAcentral lists this ribosomal RNA (468 nucleotides) under uncultured bacterium. RNAcentral describes it as "partial 16S ribosomal RNA". It matches the Rfam family "Bacterial small subunit ribosomal RNA", at positions 28 to 507 of the family's 1533-position model. The record is from RNAcentral.
GAUGAACGCUGGCGGCGUGCUUAACACAUGCAAGUCGAACGGAAAGGCCGAAGCUUGCUUCGGUACUCGAGUGGCGAACGGGUGAGUAACACGUGGGUGAUCUGCCCUGUACUUCGGGAUAAGCUUGGGAAACUGGGUCUAAUACCGGAUAUGACGAUCUCUUGGAUGGGGUUGUGGAAAGCUUUUGCGGUAUGGGAUGAGCUCGCGGCCUAUCAGCUUGUUGGUGGGGUAAUGGCCUACCAAGGCGUCGACGGGUAGCCGGCCUGAGAGGGUGUACGGCCACAUUGGGACUGAGAUACGGCCCAGACUCCGACGGGAGGCAGUAGUGGGGAAUAUUGCACAAUGGGCGCAAGCCUGAUGCAGCGACGCCGCGUGGGGGAUGACGGCCUUCGGGUUGUAAACUCCUUUCGCAAUCGACGAAGCCUUUUGGUGACGGUAGGUUGAGAAGAAGCACCGGCUAACUACGUG